Long non-coding RNA from Gossypium raimondii (Peruvian cotton), 732 nucleotides. RefSeq lists it as uncharacterized. NCBI's taxonomy places the organism in Eukaryota, Viridiplantae, Streptophyta, Magnoliopsida, Malvales, Malvaceae. The record is from RefSeq and is a predicted model, not a curated record. The transcript is spliced from 2 exons.
UGAAACUGUGUCGUUUUAGUCCAGUCAUUUAAACCCCAAAAAAGAAAAUCUGUCACUAGCAGCCCAUUUUUUUACCCUAAAAAGUAAACCCCUAUUCUCUCAACUCCCUCUUCCCCUUCUGGCCAUAGCCAACGUCGGUGAAUGGCCACGCCGCCGCCACGGUCAACAGGCAGUGACGAAAGGUUAGGCUUUUCAGCCCCUUUUUAAGCCCGGUGGUCAGUGACUGGUGAUGAGAGGCCAAAUGAGGAAAAGAAAAAAUCUAGCCCCCUUUUAAGUCCGACUCCGACGACGACUAAGGGACCUCCGUCGAUGAGAUCGCGGGGCGAUUCCAGAUGGUAGCAGACACGUGGGUAGCAGCGAUAGGCGAGAGGCGGCGGUGGCCAGAGGACGUGCGAGGAGGCUGGCGGCUAUGGGCAGACCUAGGUGUGGCGCACCUAGGGUUUCCUUUGGCUAAAAAUUUUUUUAGUUUUGGGCUAGGGUUUAGUUUGGGCUGAGGGUUAAUUUGUAUUUGGGCCUGGCAUAAUUGGGUUUGUUGUAAUUUUGGGACUGUAUUUGUCUGAUUUAAGUGUGUUGGGCCCGGAUAAAAUUUGGGCUGUACAAAUAUGAGAUCCAUUAGAAAUAUCUUUUAAAAUCAAUUGAUUAAUCAUCACAAGAUAUUAAUAUAUUAGCUCUUUUGGAGCUUUCAACUAAUUUUGUACUACCAAAUAUUGGAAUAAUAUUGAUUUUAUUUUA